GUGGGGAAUAUUGGACAAUGGGCGCAAGCCUGAUCCAGCCAUGCCGCGUGAGUGAUGAAGGCCUUAGGGUUGUAAAGCUCUUUUGUCCGGGAAGAUAAUGACUGUACCGGAAGAAUAAGCCCCGGCUAACUUCGUGCCAGCAGCCGCGGUAAUACGAAGGGGGCUAGCGUUGUUCGGAAUCACUGGGCGUAAAGCGCACGUAGGCGGACCAUAAAGUCAGGGGUGAAAGCCUGGAGCUCAACUCCAGAACUGCCUUUGAUACUGAUGGUCUCGAGUAUGGAAGAGGUUGGUGGAACUGCGAGUGUAGAGGUGAAAUUCGUAGAUAUUCGCAAGAACACCGGUGGCGAAGGCGGCCAACUGGUCCAUUACUGACGCUGAGGUGCGAAAGCGUGGGGAGCAAACAGGAUUAGAUACCCUUGUAGUCC
Molecule: ribosomal RNA, 425 nt
Filed under: uncultured bacterium
Lineage: Bacteria
Description: partial 16S ribosomal RNA
Rfam family: Bacterial small subunit ribosomal RNA
Source: RNAcentral